CGCACAUUGCGCCCGCCAGCAUUCUGGCGGGCAUGCCUGUCCGAGCGUCAUUUCAACCCUCAGGCUCCCGCGCCUGGCGUUGGGGAUCGGCCUUCACCGGCCGGCCCCGAAAUACAGUGGCGGCCCCGCCGUAGACCUCCUCUGCGUAGUAGCACACACCUCGCAGCCUGGGAGCGCGGCGGCGGCCACGCCGGAAAACCCCCGACUUCUGAAAGUUGACCUCGGAUCAGGUAGGAAUACCCGCUGAACUUAAGCAUAUCAAUAAGCGGAGGAAAAGAAACCAACAGGGAUUGCCUCAGUAACGGCGAGUGAAGCGGCAACAGCUCAAAUUUGAAAUCUGGCCCCCCGGCCCGAGUUGUAAUUUGCAGAGGAUGCUUUUGGCGAGGUGCCUUCCGAGUUCCCUGGAACGGGACGCCAUAGAGGGUGAGAGCCCCGUCUGGUCGGACACCGAGCCUCUGUAAAGCUCCUUCGACGAGUCGAGUAGUUUGGGAAUGCUGCUCAAAAUGGGAGGUAUAUGUCUUCUAAAGCUAAAUACCGGCCAGAGACCGAUAGCGCACAAGUAGAGUGAUCGAAAGAUGAAAAGCACUUUGAAAAGAGAGUUAAAUAGCACGUGAAAUUGUUGAAAGGGAAGCGUUUAUGACCAGACUUGGCCCGGUUGAUCAUCCAGCGUUCUCGCUGGUGCACUCUGCCGGUCCAGGCCAGCAUCAGUUCGCCGCGGGGGAAAAAGGCUUCGGGAAUGUGGCUCCCUCCGGGGAGUGUUAUAGCCCGUUGCGUAAUACCCUGCGGUGGACUGAGGUCCGCGCUCUGCAAGGAUGCUGGCGUAAUGGUCAUCAACGACCCGUCUUGAAACACGGACCAAGGAGUCGUCUUCGUAUGCGAGUGUUCGGGUGCAAAACCCCUACGCGUAAUGAAAGUGAACGCAGGUGAGAGCUUCGGCGCAUCAUCGACCGAUCCUGAUGUUCUCGGAUGGAUUUGAGUAAGAGCAUACGGGGCCGGACCCGAAAGAAGGUGAACUAUGCCUGUAUAGGGUGAAGCCAGAGGAAACUCUGGUGGAGGCUCGCAGCGGUUCUGACGUGCAAAUCGAUCGUCAAAU
RNAcentral lists this ribosomal RNA (1093 nucleotides) under Striaticonidium cinctum. RNAcentral's name for it is "eukaryotic LSU rRNA". The stretch from base 217 to 1093 matches the Rfam family "Eukaryotic large subunit ribosomal RNA", at positions 1 to 910 of the family's 3401-position model. The record is from RNAcentral. Lineage: Eukaryota; Fungi; Ascomycota; Sordariomycetes; Hypocreales; Stachybotryaceae.